GAUGAACGCUGGCGGCGUGCUUAACACAUGCAAGUCGAACGGGAAUUAUUUUAUUGCACCUUCGGUCGAUUUAAUUUAAUUCUAGUGGCGGACGGGUGAGUAACGCGUGGGUAACCUGCCUUAUACAGGGGGAUAACAGUCAGAAAUGGCUGCUAAUACCGCAUAAGCGCACAGAGCUGCAUGGCUCAGUGUGAAAAACUCCGGUGGUAUAAGAUGGACCCGCGUUGGAUUAGCUGGUUGGUGGGGUAACGGCCCACCAAGGCGACGAUCCAUAGCCGGCCUGAGAGGGUGAACGGCCACAUUGGGACUGAGACACGGCCCAGACUCCUACGGGAGGCAGCAGUGGGGAAUAUUGCACAAUGGGGGAAACCCUGAUGCAGCGACGCCGCGUGAAGGAAGAAGUAUCUCGGUAUGUAAACUUCUAUCAGCAGGGAAGAUAGUGACGGUACCUGACUAAGAAGCCCCGGCUAACUACGU
Molecule: ribosomal RNA, 477 nt
Filed under: uncultured bacterium
Lineage: Bacteria
Description: partial 16S ribosomal RNA
Rfam family: Bacterial small subunit ribosomal RNA
Source: RNAcentral